Molecule: long non-coding RNA, 3305 nt
Filed under: Homo sapiens (human)
Lineage: Eukaryota; Metazoa; Chordata; Mammalia; Primates; Hominidae
Description: HSALNT0355238
Source: RNAcentral
UGACACAAAAACCUAACAAAGACAUAUAAGAAAAGAAAACUACAAAUACCCAUCAAGACUGAUGGAAAAACUCUUAUUUUAUUUUAUCAAGAAGUUUUUUCUUCCUACAAGAUGCCAAACAGAAAAAUUCUUAAUAAGCUUUUAGCAAUCAAAUCCGAUAAUUUAUAAAAUAGAUAACACUUGAUGACCAAGUGGGGUUUAUUCCAGAAAUUCAAGGUUGAUUCAACAUUUGAAAAUCAAUCCAUGUAAUUCACCAUAUUAACAGAGUAAAAAAUUAAAAAAAAAAAAAACCAUGAUUAUCUCAGUAAAUACCGGAAAAGCAUUUGAUAAAACCCAAUGUCCAUUCUUGAUAAAAACUCUCAGCAAACUAGAUAUUGAAGGGAACUUCCUCCACCUUAUAAAAGGCAUCUAAGAUAAACCUACUGUUAACAUCGUACUUAAUGGUGAAGAUAGAGUGCUUUCACCCCAAGAUAGGGAACGAGACAAGAAUAUCUACUCUCACCACUUCUAUUCACAUUGCACAGGAGGUUCUAGCCAAUGCACUUAGGCAAGGAAAAGAAACAAAAGGCAUGUAGCUUAGAAAGAAGAUGUAAAACAGGCUUUACAUGCAGAUAACAUAAUCAUCUACUCAGAAGAUCCUGUGAAAUCUAGGGAAAAAGUUAUUUUCGAGACAGUCUCACUCUGUCACCCAGGCUGGAGUGCAAUGCUGGGAUCUCCGCUGGCUGUAACCUCCACUUCCUGGGUUCAAGCAAUUCUCGGGCCUCAGCCUCCUGAGUAGCUGGGAUUACAGGCGCGUAUCACCAUGCCCAGCUAAUUCUUGUAUUUUUACUAGAGAUGGGGUUUCGCCAUGUUGGCCAGGCUGUUCUGGAACUCCUGACCUCAAGUGAUUGCGAGUCGUCCGCCUCUCCCUCCCAAAGUACAGGAAUUUCAGGCAUAAGCCACUAAGCUCGGCCAGAAAAAGCUAUUAAAACUAGUAAGUGACUUAAGAAGGCUUCAGAAUACAAGCUCAAUAAACAGAAAACAAUUGUCCUUCUGAAUACUACCAAUAAGUAAUCAGAAAUUGGAAUUCAAAAUUCCAAUAUCAUUUACAAUAGCAACAAAAAUAUGAUUUGCCUAAGUAUAAAUCUAACAAAAGAUGUGCGGCCGGGCGCGGUGGCUCACGCCUGUGAUCCCAGCACUUGGGGAGGCCGAGGUGGGCGGAUCAUGAGGUCAGGAGAUGGAGACCAUCCUGGCUAACACAGUGAAACCCCAUCUCUACUAAAAAUACGAAAAAAAUUAGCCAGGCGUGGUGGCGGGCGCCUGUAGUCCCAGCUACUCAGGAGGCCGAGGCAGGAGAAUGGCAUGAACCCCAGAGCAGAGGUUGCAGUGAGCCGAGAUCGUGCCACUGCCCCCCAGGCCGGGGGACAGAGCGAGACUUCAUCUCAAAAAAAAAAAAAAAAAGACGUGCAAGACUGUACACCAAAAACUACAAAACAUCGCUGAUUGAAAUUAAAGAACACCUAAAUAAACGGGACACACAGUCAUGAAUCAGAACAUUCACUAUUGUUAAGUUACCACUUCUCUCCAAAUUGACCUAUGGAUUCAAUGUAGUCCCAAUCAAAAUCAAAAUCCCGACAGACUUCUUUUUUUUUUUUUUUGGUAGCUGAUUCUAAAAUUCAUAUGGAGAUGCAAAGGAGCUAUAAAUAUUUCAUAAAAUUUUGGAAAAGAAGAACAAAGUUUGAGGACUUACACUUCUUUUCUUUAAGACAUUAUAAAAUUUGGCCAGGUGCGGUGGCUCACGCCUGUAAUCCCAACCCUUUGGGAGGAUGAAGGGGGAGGAUCACUUGAGGUCAGGAGCUCAAGACCAGCCUGGCCAACAUGGUGAAACCCUGUCUCUGCUAAAAAUACAAAAAAUAGCUAGGCAUGAUGGUGCACUCCUGUAGUCCCAGCUACUCAGGAGGCUGAAAUAGGAGAAUCACUUGAACCUAGGAAGUGAAGGUUGCAGUGAGCCGAGUUCGUGCCAUUGCACUCCAGCCUGGGAGACGGAUGGAGACUCCAUCUCAAAAAAAAAAAAAUAAUAAUAAUAAUAUAUAUAAUUUAUAUAUAUAAAUUAUUAAAAUAGUACAUGUACUUCCAAAAUAUAUACAACUAUUAUUUUAAAAGACAUAUUAGAAAGCUACAUUAUUCAAGACCAUGUGGUCCUGGUGUUAAGAUUUAAAGAAACAUAGGUUAAUUGUACAGAAUAGAACAUCCAGAUAUAGAUCCACACGUAUCUGGUCACUUGAUUUUCGACAAAGGUGGAAGGUAACACAGUGAGAAAGGACAGGCUUUGCAACAAAAGCUGCCGGGACGAUUAGGUCUCCAUGUGCCAAAAUGAGAACUUUGACUCCUGCCCUGCACAUAUAAAACUGACUCAAAAUUGGACCAUAGACAUCAAUAUAAAAUCAACUAUUGAAGAAAACACAGGAGAAAAUCUUCAUAAUCUUGGAUUAAACAAAGAUUUCUUAGACCAAAAGCAUAAUCCAUAAAAGAAAGUAUUAAUAGCUGGGUGCAGUGGCUCUUACCUAUAAUCCCAGCACUUUGGGAGGCCGAAGUGGGAGGACUGCCUGAACUUAGGUGUUUGAGACCGGCCUGGCCAACAUGGCGAAACCCCAUCUCUACAAAAAAUACAAAAAUUAGGCUGGGCAUGGUGGCUCACGCCUGUAAUCCCAGUGCUUUGGGAGGCCGAGGCGUGUGGAUCAUGAGGUCAGGAGUUCAAGGCCAGCCUGGCCAACAUGGUGAAACCCCGUCUCUACUAAAAAUACAAAAAGUUACCCAGGCGUGGUGGCAGGUGCCUGUAAUCUAAGCUACUCAGGAGAGGCAGGAGAAUUGCUUAAACCUGGGAGACGGAGGUUGUAGUGAGCAACCUGGGCAACAGAGUGAGACUUUGUCUUAAAAAAAAAAAAAAUAGCAGGUUUGGUAGCUUGUGCCUAUAGUCCCAGCUACUCCAGAGGCUGAGGCAGGAGGAUGGCUUAAGCUUGGAAAGUUGAGGCUACAGUGAGCUACGAUCAUACCACUUCACUCCAGCCAGGACAACACAGCAAGACCCUAUCUCUUAAAAACUAAAAAAUUGUUCACUUUACAUAUUAUAUGUUAAUUAUACCUAAAAAAAGCUGUUUUUUUAAAAAAAGAGUUUGAGCAACAUCACCUCCCCUGCUCCUACUCUUAAGACUUAAGAGAAAUUCAAGGCUAGGCACGGUGGCUCAUGCCUGUUAUCCCAGCACUUUGUGAGGCCGAGGAGGGUGGAUCACCUGAGGUCAGGAUUUCGAGACCAGCCUGGCUAACAU